RNAcentral lists this ribosomal RNA (468 nucleotides) under uncultured bacterium. Its description in RNAcentral is "partial 16S ribosomal RNA". It matches the Rfam family "Bacterial small subunit ribosomal RNA", at positions 28 to 507 of the family's 1533-position model. The record is from RNAcentral.
GACGAACGCUGGCGGCGUGCUUAACACAUGCAAGUCGAACGGAAAGGCCCUGCUUUUGUGGGGUGCUCGAGUGGCGAACGGGUGAGUAACACGUGAGUAACCUGCCCUUGACUUUGGGAUAACUUCAGGAAACUGGGGCUAAUACCGGAUAGGAGCUCCUGCUGCAUGGUGGGGGUUGGAAAGUUUCGGCGGUUGGGGAUGGACUCGCGGCUUAUCAGCUUGUUGGUGGGGUAGUGGCUUACCAAGGCUUUGACGGGUAGCCGGCCUGAGCGGGUGACCGGCCACAUUGGGACUGAGAUACGGCCCAGACUCCUACGGGAUGCAGCAGUGGGGAAUAUUGCACAAUGGGCGGAAGCCUGAUGCAGCAACGCCGCGUGCGGGAUGACGGCCUUCGGGUUGUAAACCGCUUUCUCCUGUGACGAAGCGUGAGUGACGGUAAUGGGUAAAGAAGCACCGACUAACUACGUG